RNAcentral lists this ribosomal RNA (1046 nucleotides) under uncultured organism. Its description in RNAcentral is "bacterial SSU rRNA". It matches the Rfam family "Bacterial small subunit ribosomal RNA", at positions 366 to 1414 of the family's 1533-position model. The record is from RNAcentral.
GGUCAAUGGGCGAAAGCCUGAACCAGCCAUGCCGCGUGAAGGAUGACAGCCCUAUGGGUUGUAAACUUCUUUUGUACGGGAAGAAACGCUUCUAACGUGUAGAGGUUUGACGGUACCGUACGAAUAAGCAUCGGCUAACUCCGUGCCAGCAGCCGCGGUAAUACGGAGGAUGCAAGCGUUAUCCGGAUUUAUUGGGUUUAAAGGGUACGUAGGCGGGAGCUUAAGUCAGUGGUGAAAUCCUGCAGCUUAACUGUAGAACUGUCAUUGAUACUGGGCUUCUUGAAUGUAGUUGAGGUAGCCGGAAUGUGUAAUGUAGCGGUGAAAUGCUUAGAUAUUACACAGAACACCGAUUGCGAAGGCAGCUUACUAAACUACGAUUGACGCUGAGGUACGAAAGCGUGGGGAGCGAACAGGAUUAGAUACCCUGGUAGUCCACGCUGUAAACGAUGAUCACUCGUUGUUGGCAAUACACCGUCAGCGACUGAGCGAAAGCAUUAAGUGAUCCACCUGGGGAGUACGACCGCAAGGUUGAAACUCAAAGGAAUUGACGGGGGCCCGCACAAGCGGAGGAACAUGUGGUUUAAUUCGAUGAUACGCGAGGAACCUUACCUGGGCUUAAAUGUAGAACGACGGACCGGGAAACUGGUCUUUCUUCGGACGGUCUGCAAGGUGCUGCAUGGCUGUCGUCAGCUCGUGCCGUGAGGUGUCGGGUUAAGUCCCAUAACGAGCGCAACCCUCAUCAUUAGUUGCCAGCGGGUAAUGCCGGGGACUCUAAUGAAACUGCCGGUGUAAACCGAGAGGAAGGUGGGGAUGACGUCAAGUCAGCACGGCCCUUAUGUCCAGGGCUACACACGUGUUACAAUGGUCGGUACAAAGGGCAGCUACCUGGCGACAGGAUGCUAAUCUCGAAAACCGAUCUCAGUUCGGAUCGAAGUCUGCAACUCGACUUCGUGAAGCUGGAUUCGCUAGUAAUCGCGCAUCAGCCAUGGCGCGGUGAAUACGUUCCCGGGCCUUGUACACACCGCCCGUCAAGCCAUGGAAGCUGG